UGUCAUGUACUUCUCAAGGCCCAGUUUUUGAAUUUUUCUUGUUCCGGAAUGGGGUACUUCUUUUGCUGGGAGGGGUAUUCUAUGGCUUCCUCUUUGUUGAAUUAGAAGAGGGUCUAUGAUCUAUAGAUAGGGAGCUUUUUAAUGUCUGAAAGAUAGAGGAUAUUAAGACUGUAGAGGGCACAUGUAGGUCGGUCGAGCAAGAAGAUUUGACUAGGAUAGCGUUGUGGCUAUCAGAGUCUUUUGAGAGCACUGGAUUUGGACCGUUGGGUGGUGGGGGUGGGAGCCAUUUAAAAGAUAGACCAACAACAUCAAGAAGAGUAGAGAGGGAAGGAGCUAGGUUAGGCAUCCUUGAAGAAUUUAAAUUUUCUCAGAAACGGUUUAGAGCCUGUAAGCUGAGAUAGGUGUAACGGAUGGGUGGGAAGGAGUAUGAGAUAG
This 435-nucleotide long non-coding RNA is filed under the name Elaeis guineensis (African oil palm). RNAcentral describes it as "long non-coding RNA (EGUI_LNC068435)". Lineage: Eukaryota; Viridiplantae; Streptophyta; Magnoliopsida; Arecales; Arecaceae. The record is from RNAcentral.